AGCACAUAAGAGGACCUCUGCUCCAGGUGUCUUUAAGACGCUGCCAUUUGUGUGCAGCUGGCCCUUUAAAAAGAGCUCGAGGCCAGAGAAACCUCAUCCAGCAGAAUUAUUCAGUUUGUUUUAGCAACUGCUUCCCGAGCCCCGUCUCCCAUUACUUCAUCUGCAUUCCCCAGAUGCUGACCCUGUCCCCUCUAAGCCCACAGCAUUCCCCCCACCCCCGCCCCGCGGAGGCUUUCAUAAUCUCCUAGGGGACACUCCCAGUACGGAGCCCUGGCAGCCCCACAGGAUGCCACCUCUCAGGUCACGGGUGGAACCUGACGCCCUUCCCCAGCUUCUCUCGCUGCAACCCUACCUGCCCCAGAUUUCAGGCCUGCGUCAGAGGCUGCUACCGGAGGAGGUAGGGAGGUGACCCUGUUUGGUCCUGCCCAGGCUGAACUCCUCCCGGCGAUUUCAGACAGCUGUCCAGGUGUUGCUUAGUAAGGUUGCAUUUAGAGGACUGUCCAGCAAGGACUGCCAGGGUCUCCGAGCAGUGGCUCCGAGCCCUGUCUCGUCAGUCUUUGCUGGACGGAUGAGUCAGCAACGUGUCCCUCUUCGCACUCUCCCCCACCAGUGAGUAGCGCACUUCGGGGACGUCUUCCCGGAUUAGUUAGAGCACUUUUGGAGGCAAGAGACAGAGGGCGGGUUCAAACCAGCUUAAAAUAGUUUAUUGGCUAAGAAGUGAAAUGGAAUCCAAAGGAGUAGCCGGACUUGGGCAGAGCUACGUCCAGAAGUGGUUCAAACGCUAUUGUUGGGGACCUCUCUCUCUCUCCACCUUACAAAGAGUGAAUCCACCGGGGCGCCUGGGUGGCUCAGUCGGAAAAGAAUGCACCAUGAGAUGGACCAGAGCUAUCAGUCCCAUAAAGGCAGGAAUCAACACUAACUCAGACCUGUAACCAACAGCCUGUGAUCAAGCUGGGUAUGACCUAUUCCUGACAGUAAAUUGCUUUAGGUUCCUUUAAGAAAGUACUGAGAAAUCACUACUUUAUAUAUUUGCCUCUGUGUUGCAGAAUCCAUUCUUAAGAGACUUGAUCUUCAAUCACUGGGCGUCUCAGAACUGGCUCCAGCUUGGAACUUGGGCAACUGAUCAUGAGUUUCAACUGGGACCUCAGGUUUCUGUUCUCUUCUUCGUCCUCAUUCUCUUAUGAUAUCAUUAUUUAUCAACUACUGGAUAACUUAUGAUGGGUGCUAGAUGUUGGAGAUGUAGGGGUAAAAAAGAUACAGCCCACAGCCUUCUG
Molecule: long non-coding RNA, 1274 nt
Filed under: Felis catus (domestic cat)
Lineage: Eukaryota; Metazoa; Chordata; Mammalia; Carnivora; Felidae
Description: lncRNA (ENSFCAG00000047036.1)
Source: RNAcentral